UGAUAGGGUUCAUUUUAAAAGCAUUAGAAUCUGGUUCAAAAACAAUUUCUUCUUCAGCGCGAAAUAAAUAUAAAUAAAAUGGUUUUGGCGCGGUCAAAACCCUAGAAAACGGAAUCGAAAAAAACUCAACACUCGGAUACAGAGACAGAGAGGACGGAAUCUGCGAAAAAGUCACACUGACUUCACAUCCUAUCCCCCUGAAUCAUUCGCUUUCAAGAUACUGGUUUGUUGAUCAUAAUGGCGGGGCAAAGGAAUAAUUACAGAAAGCGGUCUCAUUCGCAGUCAGAUUAUGAUAUUGGGGCAAAUAAGAGGAGAAAUUCUGGUGACGAUAGAGAACGUUAUGUUAUUGAUUCACAGGAUACAGUAUAUCGUUAUUUGUGCCCGGCUAUGAAGAUUGGAAGCAUAAUAGGAAGGGGAGGGGAGAUUGUUAAGCAAUUAAGGAUAGACACCAAGUCAAAGAUUAGGGUUGGUGAAACAGUGCCGGGUUGUGAAGAACGUGUUGUUACCAUGUAUAGUCCGAGUGAUGAGACUAAUGAAUAUGAAGAUAGUGGUAAUUAUGUUUCUCCUGCUCAGGAUGCUCUGUUCAGGGUACAUGAUAAAGUUAUAACAGAGGAUUUGCAAGUUGACGAGGACUCUGAAGAAAGUCAACAAGUCACUGCUAAGCUUCUUGUACCUUCUGAUCAGAUAGGAUGUAUUAUUGGGAAAGGUGGGCAGAUAGUUCAGAACAUACGUAGUGAGACUGGUGCAGUGAUCCGCAUUCUUAAGGAUGAGCAUUUGCCUCCUUGUGCUUUAAGCUCAGAUGAGCUUGUACAGAUUUCUGGUGAAGCUGCAGUUGUCAAAAAGGCUUUAUAUCAAAUAGCAUCUCGCCUUCACGAUAAUCCAUCACGGUCUCAGCACUUACUUGUUUCUGCUGUUCCAAAUGUGUACCCUGCUGUUGGUUCACUGGUUGGUCCAUCUGCAGCUGCCCCAAUUGUUGGAAUUGCUCCUCUGAUGGGUCCUUAUGGCAGUUUCAAAGGUGACACUGGAGACUGGUCCCGCUCGUUGUAUUCAGCUCCAAGAGAUGAACUUGCUUCAAAAGAAUUUUCUCUUCGUAUGGUUUGUCCAACUGCAAAUAUUGGUGCUGUAAUUGGGAAAGGUGGUACCAUAAUCAAUCAGAUCAGACAGGAGUCUGGAGCAACAAUCAAAGUUGAUAGUUCAGCUUCUGAAGGAGAUGAUUGCUUGAUAACUAUUUCAGCUAAGGAGAUAUGUGAUGACCAGUAUUCUCCAACAAUAGAAGCAGCCUUACGUUUGCAACCUAGAUGUAGUGAGAAAAUGGAAAGAGAUUCAGGUCUUUUCUCAUUUACUACCCGUCUACUUGUUCCCUCCUCUCAUAUUGGUUGCCUUCUUGGUAAAGGAGGACUUAUUAUAGAUGAGAUGAGGAAACUUACCAAAGCUAUUAUUCGGAUACCUAGAAAGGACAAGCUUCCUAAAACUGCCUUGGAUGAUGAUGAGAUGGUGCAGAUUUCAGGAGACCUGGACAUUGCCAAGGAUGCUCUCAUACAAAUAAGUCGACGGUUAAGAGCAAAUGCUUUUGAUAGGGAAGGUUUAAUGUCUGCAAUUCUACCAGUUUUUCCAUACCUUCCUGUCUCAGCAGAAGGUUUGGAGGGUCGACAUUAUGACAGUAGAGAUGAUAAAAGACAUGGACGUGGAAAUACUUAUGCUGGUGGUUAUGGCGCAAGUGAUUAUGCUGUUGGUGACAGUUAUGGUAGCUAUAGAAGCACACAGAUUAGUGCUAGUGGAGGUCCUUUUGGAGCCUAUGGAAGCUAUUCUUCAGGACGCAUUGGUACUUCUGGGUUAUCUGGCCAGGCCCCUGUUUCUCGACGCAAAAGUUAUUACUAGAAUUUGAUGAUGGUUGCUGAAGGAUUCACUUUGGCCUCUUGAAUCCUCUUUAAGGCAGACAGUAAGAUGUGUCUUGCUAUCAUCUGUAGGGAUGGAUUUCAUAUUUGUUUGAAAUGUGACAAACCUGAUUAAAGCCGGGAGGAACAUUUAUUUAAAGUAUGCAUUAUAUAUCAAGAAAGUUAUUGAAAUUGAGUUUGAGCUUGGAUUUGUAAGCCGUGCAUUGAAAAUAUAAAUAUAGUUGCCUUCUUGUAUGUCUUUUCUAAAAUUUUAAUUCUGUGCACCCCCCCCAUUAUGUACUUGGAUGUUCAAAUGUCCCCUUGCCUAUAUUGUACAGUUGGUCCUACUAGUUAUUUGCAUGCUUUAAAGAAGUUGCUGUAUCUGGCAAUUUUAUUGGUUUGAUUGUAUUUUGUAGCUCAAAACCUGAUUUUUCUGUAGUGAUGAGUUUCGUGAACGAAGGCAGAACUAAGGAAGAGAAUUUCUCGAUGGGUCAUCUCAUGGACUUGUGCUGUGCUGUGGUGCCGUGUCUUGUCCUGUCCAGGUAAUUUUGGAGGUGGAGGUGCACAUGAAAUAUGAACUCUUUCUUGUACACUGAAGGUGAGUUUUAACUGCUAUAUUUAGUGGACUUUUUAACCUCAUACAUGUCAAAUAUAUAUAUAUAUUUUUCAUAAAUGUCUUUAUCCCAACUGUGAUAAUUCGGCACAAGGAAAUUAUUGUCCAGUGGAACUUGAAGGGUAGGUUACAUAUCACUUUUGAUGGAUAUUUGUAAGCUCAGACACCAUUGGAGGCUUUUCUGGAUUGUUGGUAAAAGCUUAACUUAGGGCUUCAAGUGGUCUAGGUCAUGCAUAAAUCUGUCAUCCUUUUACCUGGCUAAUCUCAGAUGCCAGCAAGUUAACUAUGUGGAAGACAAGCGAGUCCUGUCAAUUGUUUUAGUCAUCAUGGGCCCUUUGUAUGUUUAUUUGUAAGCGGUGUAUGCAAGCGCAUGUAACACAAUUAGAUAAUUUAAUUGCUUACUGAAGAAAUAUUUUUGUCGGUAAUUACACUGCUAAUGCCCAACGGAUAUUUUUUGUUCAUCUUUUAAUCAGAAAUUACGGAUAAAAUAUUUUCUGUC
Molecule: RNA transcript, 2986 nt
Organism: Populus trichocarpa (black cottonwood)
Lineage: Eukaryota; Viridiplantae; Streptophyta; Magnoliopsida; Malpighiales; Salicaceae
Gene name: KH domain-containing protein At4g18375
Exons: 9
Source: RefSeq, a predicted model, not a curated record